UACGGAGGGUGCAAGCGUUAGUCGGAAUUACUGGGCGUAAAGGGCGCGUAGGCGGGAAUGUAAGUCAGAUGUGAAAUUUCGAGGCUCAACCUCGAAGGUGCAUCUGAAACUGUGUUUCUAGAGGAGAAGCGGAGAAAACGGAAUUCCACGUGUAGCGGUGAAAUGCGUAGAUAUGUGGAAGAACACCUGUGGCGAAAGCGGUUUUCUAGCUUUGACCUGACGCUGAGGCGCGAAAGCAAGGGGAGCAAACAGG
This 253-nucleotide ribosomal RNA is filed under the name uncultured bacterium. Its description in RNAcentral is "partial 16S ribosomal RNA". It matches the Rfam family "Bacterial small subunit ribosomal RNA", at positions 524 to 776 of the family's 1533-position model. The record is from RNAcentral.